This 829-nucleotide ribosomal RNA is filed under the name Thelohanellus hoffmanni. RNAcentral describes it as "SSU rRNA". It matches the Rfam family "Eukaryotic small subunit ribosomal RNA", at positions 349 to 1065 of the family's 1831-position model. Lineage: Eukaryota; Metazoa; Cnidaria; Myxozoa; Bivalvulida; Myxobolidae. The record is from RNAcentral.
AGGUGCACGGGUACGGGGAAUCAGGGUUCGAUUCCGGAGAGGGAGCCUGAGAAACGGCUACCACAUCCAAGGAAGGCAACAGGCGCGCAAAUUACCCAAUCUAGACAGUAGGAGGUGGUGAAGAGAAUUACUAGGUGGUGGCUCUUUGAGCUACCAGUUUGGAAUGAACGUAACUUAAGAAAUUCGAUGAGAAACAACUGGAGGGCAAGUCCUGGUGCCAGCAGCCGCGGUAAUUCCAGCUCCAGUAGUUUGCUUUAAAGUUGUUGCGUUUAAAACGCUCGUAGUUGGAUCACGCAGCAGUGUCCAGUAAUCUGUUGCCAGAUUUCGACCGAUUGAACUGUUUAACGACUUUCUCUCGGAAGCUGUCAGCAAUAGGUGUUAACGCUGGACAUUGCUAGUUGCACGUGAGAUGGAUUGUUGGCCUUAAAUGUGCCGGUAUUCACGUCUUGCGGAGUGUGCCUUGAAUAAAACAGAGUGCUUAAAGCAGGUAUUUGCCUGAAUGUUAUAGCAUGGAACGAACAAUCGUGUAUAUGUGCAUGUCUCUAAACGAUAGCAAGCCCCAGGCCUGUUGUUGUUUAGGACGUGUACGGCACCCACCAAAAUAUGGCUGUUGGUUCCAUAUACGGUGAUGAUUAAAAGGAGCGGUUGGGGGCAUCGGUAUUUGGCCGCGAGAGGUGAAAUUCUUAGACCGGCCAAGGACUAACAAAUGCAAAGGCACUUGUCUAGACCGUAUCCAUUAAUCAAGAACGAAAGUGGGAGGUUCGAAGACGAUCAGAUACCGUCCUAGUUCCCACUGUAAACUAUGCCGACCUGGGAUCAGUCUAGAGAU